CAGUCGCCGCGGUAAUACGAAGGGUGCAAGCGUUAAUCGGAAUUACUGGGCGUAAAGCGUGCGUAGGCGGUUUGUUAAGUCUGCUGUGAAAUCCCCGGGCUCAACCUGGGAAUGGCAGUGGAUACUGGCAAGCUAGAGUGUGUCAGAGGAUGGUGGAAUUCCCGGUGUAGCGGUGAAAUGCGUAGAGAUCGGGAGGAACAUCAGUGGCGAAGGCGGCCAUCUGGGACAACACUGACGCUGAGGCACGAAAGCGUGGGGAGCAAACAGGAUUAGAGACCCCGGUAGUCCCUGUCUCUUAUAC
Molecule: ribosomal RNA, 301 nt
Filed under: uncultured bacterium
Lineage: Bacteria
Description: partial 16S ribosomal RNA
Rfam family: Bacterial small subunit ribosomal RNA
Source: RNAcentral